GAAAUGCGAUAAUUAAUGUGAAUUGCAGCAUUCAGUGAAUCAUCGAGUCUUUGAACGCACAUUGCGCCCCCUGGUAUUCCGGGGGGCAUGCCUGUCCGAGCGUCAUUGCUGCCCUCAAGCACGGCUUGUGUGUUGGGCUUCCGUCCCUGGCAACGGGGACGGGCCCAAAAGGCAGUGGCGGCACCAUGUCUGGUCCUCGAGCGUAUGGGGCUUUGUCACCCGCUCCCGUAGGUCCAGCUGGCAGCUAGCCUCGCAACCAAUCUUUUUAACCAGGUUGACCUCGGAUCAGGUAGGGAUACCCGCUGAACUUAAGC
RNAcentral lists this unclassified non-coding RNA (314 nucleotides) under plant metagenome. RNAcentral's name for it is "partial contains 5.8S ribosomal RNA, internal transcribed spacer 2, and large subunit ribosomal RNA". The stretch from base 1 to 105 matches the Rfam family "5.8S ribosomal RNA", at positions 50 to 154 of the family's 154-position model. The record is from RNAcentral.